This 391-nucleotide unclassified non-coding RNA is filed under the name soil metagenome. RNAcentral describes it as "partial contains 5.8S ribosomal RNA, internal transcribed spacer 2, and large subunit ribosomal RNA". The stretch from base 1 to 122 matches the Rfam family "5.8S ribosomal RNA", at positions 35 to 154 of the family's 154-position model. The record is from RNAcentral.
GAUGAAGAACGCAGCGAAAUGCGAUACUUGGUGUGAAUUGCAGAAUCCCGUGAACCAUCGAGUCUUUGAACGCAAGUUGCGCCCGAAGCCAUUAGGCCGAGGGCACGCCUGCCUGGGCGUCACACGUCGUUGCCCCCCCAUCUACUCCUUCGGGAUUGCGGGGGGCGGAUGAUGGCCUCCCGUGCGCCUCGUCGCGCGGUUGGCAUAAAUGCCAAGUCCUCGGCGACACACGCCACGACAAUCGGUGGUUGCGAAACCUCGGUUGCCCGUCGUGUGCGGUCGUCGCGCAUCGAGGGCUCGAAAAAAUUGCCGGGCUCCGGCUCGGCUUUCAACGCGACCCCAGGUCAAGCGGGGUUACCCGCUGAAUUUAAGCAUAUCAAUAAGCGGAGGA